RNA transcript from Mus pahari (shrew mouse), 4196 nucleotides. It is a transcript of the gene named TAFA chemokine like family member 2, with no coding region annotated. The transcript has 6 exons. Lineage: Eukaryota; Metazoa; Chordata; Mammalia; Rodentia; Muridae. The record is from RefSeq and is a predicted model, not a curated record.
AGACGGAGGGAAUCAAAGCCUCCUGGUCCAGCCGUCCCAUUUUACUGCUUAACUCAGCCUGGAGUGUCAGAACCAUCUCUGCCUGCCUUCUCUGUGCUUUGUAUAGUGGGGCCAGUCGCUCUCAACGGCCAACCCACUGAGUGGAACAGGGGUCUAGGGUGGACCAGUCCGUUGGGGUGACUUUCUAACAUUAUCUCUAGUGUAUUUUAACAGUACAGCGCUUGUGGUGGUUCUUAGAGAGAGACAAGCUUUGAUUUAUUUUAUUUUUUUAUUUUUUGGCUUCUUUUUCUUCUGGUGAUCUGGAUUUGUUUCCUCGGGCCCCUCCCCUUGUUCUGUUCUUUCUCACUCCCGCCUUUGGCGAAGUGACACAGGCGACACCUGCUCGCUUGUGCCUGCUGCUGGAACUCGCACCUCCACGGUGGUGAAGGUGCCGGCGCGCUCGUGACUUGGGGGGACAGCAGAGGGGUCCCCUCCCUUGGAGCACACGAUGCCGAGAGUGGUGGCGGGUGGGCAGCGAGGAGCUCGACCGGCUGCACUUGGAGGCGCGAUCGAGGGGCUGCAGCUGGCUGGGAGUUGCUGCUAAGUGGACGCGACUCGACGGCGCCCAGGUGUCCGAGAGGCCACCCGCGGGACCCGAGUGCGAGCUGCGGGAACGCAGGCGUCUCCCGGGGAGGACGCCGGCCGAGCGCACAGCCCGCGAGCCUGCUCAGAACCGCUCCACACCGCGAGCCUGCAGACCUGGGAGAGCCGGGGAACUCGAGGAGUGUGCUGGGCGGCGGAGGCUGCUCUGCUGAAGGUGAAUCACCGCGUCCAAUUGCCUUUCCCUAGAGAACCCGGGGGAGGGCGGGAGAGGGGGAAACGUGUGAGCGCGCGCGUUUGUGUGCAAGGGAGAGCCGACGCGGGGCGAGAGGAAAAGUCCUCGCUCGCCGCUCAAAGCAAACAAACCGGAGAUGGAAUAAGAGCGGCGGUGGCUGGAGCCCGCCUGGAUCCUCGCAGUCGCGGGACCCGAGCGCACCGUGCGCAUCGCAUCGCAUCGCAUCGCAACGCCGGGGACAGCGGGCGACCGCGGACGCCGCCGGGGGCUGCGGAGACUUUGGCUCUCCCCCUCGGUCGACGACCCUUCCGAUUACUUUGACACUGUGGGAUAAAGAGCAGAGCCCAGGGACCGGCCUCGCGCGCUGCACCUUCCUCUUGCUUCGGGGAAGGGGGACCCCAGCUUGUAGGUGAAGACACUGCCGAGUCCCACUUUAGCCUUCGGAGGAGGCGGCACUCACACUCGCUCGCCCUCCGCGAACACACACCGGUGGACUUGAGGUCCCUAUGCCCCUGGAUGGUGCCAGCGGACCGGCAUCUCGGAAGCGAUGCAGGAGCGGUGAGACUGGCGUCGGCCCGCGGAAGCUACCGGACCAUCGCUAGGUGCUGCCGCCACCGGGACGCCCGGCUGCAGGAUGAAUAAGAGAUACUUACAGAAAGCAACACAAGGAAAGCUUCUGAUGAUUAUUUUUAUAGUGACCUUGUGGGGGAAAGCUGUUUCCAGCGCCAACCAUCACAAAGCUCACCAUGUUAGAACUGGGACUUGCGAGGUGGUGGCGCUGCACAGAUGCUGUAAUAAGAACAAGAUAGAAGAACGGUCCCAAACAGUCAAGUGUUCCUGCUUCCCUGGGCAGGUGGCGGGCACCACCCGAGCUGCUCCGUCUUGUGUGGAUGCAUCCAUAGUGGAACAAAAGUGGUGGUGUCAUAUGCAGCCAUGUCUGGAGGGAGAGGAGUGUAAAGUCCUUCCAGAUCGCAAAGGAUGGAGCUGUUCCUCUGGAAACAAAGUAAAAACAACUAGGGCAAACGUGUAAAACUCUUCACGUUGGAAUGGGAGAAGGUUUCUGCUGUGCCUGAUGACAAUUUUUGAUUUUCCACAUUCAAACUUAUUCUGGCUCCACACUGGAGCAGUAGUUAUGGCGAAUCCUAGUGUUGGUCGGCUUCUGAGGAAGGGGCAGAAGUUUCCUUGAGAAGUAAAGAGUCCAGACAACCCCAGAAAUGAGCGCCUGUCUCCUCAUUUCUCACAGAGCAGCAGGUAACCCAUUAACCACUCUUAAAUCAAAUAAUACUCAUGGCUGUGUUCAUGGAGACACAAGAAUAGAAGCUGGGCUCCUGCAGUGACCUUGAAGAUUUUUAUACUGCUUAGAAGAGACAUUGAAAAUCCAUUUCCAAGGGAUUCUGUGGCUUUUCAUCCACUUCUUAGUGAAACUAAGAUGUUACAGAAAUCUGAAGUGAACUUUGGGUCCUGAAGACUUUAUUGGCUGUGAACUACGCUUGGCUCACAACACUUCUGAGGGAAGGGGACACUGUUCUUCACGGAACUGGGAUAGAGUUGGUUUUCUGGGCUGACACCAGAGACUGUCACCUUUAAGGCUCCUUGCUUCAGCUGUGACUGUUCUUGUGUCUGAAGCUGUCUCCCAAGCUCACUGUCCUGUCAUGGAUGUGCUCCUGACUUCUUUGUUCCUUGUCUAGUAGGACUAUGUGCAGCUUUGAUGACGUUCCCUUUGCAAACUCUUCUGGCAUGGCAUAGACAGAGACAAUUUUAUUGGUAUUCUAAUCUUGAAACUCUGAAAGCCUACAUGUUUUAAUGUCUUACUCUUGCCUCUGUGAAAGGAAUAGAAGUAUUUAUCCAUUGAUAAUGAUAAUCAUUGGCAAAUCACAGUGACCUGAAUAUACCCCUCAUAUAAGAAUGUGUAGGCGACCUGACUCGUUUCCCCAAGGCUAACGCGUGGCCGCAGCUCUCUGGCAGUGGAGCAGGUAGUAGUUAGGACUGGAUUCCAAUUCCCAUCACACAGUGCUCUGUGCCUCUAGUGCACCCUUCCUUCCAGGGUUGGCCUUUUUUUUUUUAAGUGUACUUUCCUUUUUAUAUUUUCUUUUCUUUUCCAUCAAGGAAAUCAUCAGUGUACAGUCAAGUUAGCAGAGAGCUUUUGAUUUAAAAACAAACAAACAAACAAACAAAACCACCAGGGAUGCAUGUGUUUCUCUGAUUUCUCAUCACUUACAUUUCUUUCUAUCUCAUUUUAAGAUCGUCUCUUGCUCAAUCCCAAUGACUGCUUGAAUGCUUAUAUAUUUGUUCAGUCUGUGGAUAGAAAAAAAGAAAAAAAAACCUGUUGAUUUUCCUUGACCACAAAGGUCUAAAUACUCACUUAUGGUUGUUCCAUUCAAACAAUUCUUGGCCAGUAUUUUGUCCAUAUUUUCACAUCCUAAAACUUGUGAUUUUUAGUUCUUCGUGGUUUUUCUUACAUACGUUUAAAGGCCUUAAACAUUGAUUUACCUUUUUCUAAGUUAUUACAGAAUGUAUAAUUUUGUACUGCAUUUAUUUUGUUUCACUUGUGAUGUGGGAGAAGGGGACAGUGGGUACUGAAUUGUCACCCUAUAAUAAUAAUACCAUGUAAAUCUAUAGUUUGAAGGCAUAUAAAGGCAAGGGUUUUUCCAUGUCUUAAUUAUUUUAGCUUGAUCAAAAGAUGUUUCACAGAUCAUCCUAUUAGGUGGUCCAUCAUUUUAGUAAAAAAGUGAAGAUGUUUGGGACUUCUUGUAUUUCUAGAACUCACUGACAAAGCCAGUUAACCUUGGUUUCUAGGAUGGAGGUUCAUAGAGAAGAAUUUGUAUCUGUUAGUCUGUAACAAUACUCAAAGGGUCAUUUAGUAACUAGGACCUUUAGUGGGAAGAGCAGCUAAAAGUGCAAAAAUAUAUUAAAAAAUUAAAUUGGAAAAUGGCACUUUUAAUAUUGAUUGAAAGUCAACUGCCUCAUGAAAGUGUGGGAUGAAGUGAUCCUGCCUCACUUUUAAUUGCAUAAAACCAACUGGGUGGCUCUGCGUGGGUUUUGUAAUGGGUCAGUUCUACACAGGGUCAACAUGAAAUGAGUAACAGUUAAGCUGGACUUUCUCUGCCAAACAAAUUAUCACUACUUUCUUUGGUACAAAAUGAAAAACUAUCAUUUUGGGUAUUAUUAGUUUAUCCUAGGUUGGUUUGAAGUUAUGGAUCAUGCGUCUCACUGCGAAAACUGUCAUUUACAACAACACUGGAAAUUCUGUAUAAUAUAAAAGUGUAAUACAUGCGUAUCAAUAGAAAAAAUAAAUGGAAUUUCAAAUAUAUGAACUAGGAUAUUCCCAGUAGAUUAAUGUUGUGACUGUUCAGAAAAAAAUAAAUAAAAUUGGAAUAUAAAA